UACGGGGGGGGCAAGCGUUGUUCGGAAUUACUGGGCGUAAAGGGUUCGUAGGCGGCCAACUAAGUCAGACGUGAAAUCCCUCAGCUUAACUGGGGAACUGCGUCUGAUACUGGUUGGCUUGAGUGCAGGAGAGGAACGCGGAAUUCCAGGUGUAGCGGUGAAAUGCGUAGAUAUCUGGAGGAACACCGGUGGCGAAGGCGGCGUUCUGGACUGCAACUGACACUGAUGAACGAAAGCCAGGGGAGCAAACGGG
This 253-nucleotide ribosomal RNA is filed under the name uncultured bacterium. RNAcentral describes it as "partial 16S ribosomal RNA". It matches the Rfam family "Bacterial small subunit ribosomal RNA", at positions 524 to 776 of the family's 1533-position model. The record is from RNAcentral.